RNAcentral lists this long non-coding RNA (1305 nucleotides) under Homo sapiens (human). RNAcentral's name for it is "non-protein coding lnc-POU3F3-7:1". Lineage: Eukaryota; Metazoa; Chordata; Mammalia; Primates; Hominidae. The record is from RNAcentral.
GGGAGGGGAAAGUGGUGAGGGGGAGGGAGGCUGGAGGACGACAGAUUUCCAGCUUCUACGACGCUCUGCCUAAAUUAAAAAGCAACCAAUCGGAACGGCCGGAAGGGGGGCCUCGCGUCCUGAGCCAGUCAUUCCGAGCCUGCCAAUCACCCAGCGGGUAGCCAAUCAGCGGGGGCCCUGGUGCUCGACUUCCUUGUAUUUGGGAAAGUGUGGUGGUGGGUGCGCGCUCGCGGCGGAGGGUAAACAUUCGACAGUCCCCGCUCUGAGAGGGAGGGACAGAGAGCGAACUGUCAGAUCGGAGCGAGAGCGGGCGCCCGAGAGAGGGAGAGAGAGAGAGGGAGGGAGAGGAAAAGUGAGAGAGGGAAAGAGAGCGCGAACGAGGGCGCAGAGCGAGCUCCUGCUGCAACUCUGCUCCAGCACGGCCAGCGCCAGCGCCCGCCGUCGGUGCACUCUACGAGCCGUGCAGCGUGCCCACUGGAGUUGUUGUGUAUCAAGGAUCGAUCCCCUAUAUGCACACACACACCUCCACCUCCACCAAUGCACUCUUCUUCCUCCUCCUUCUCCAGACAACUGCUGGGAAAAAAAUAAAACACCAACCCCAACCGUCAGCAACAAGAUGUCGCAUCAGACUGUGACUGUUGCGAGGAGAAUGAAAAAGGACUCUUGUUUCAGAGGCAACCAAGAGCUCCGGCAAUAGCAACUUCAGAGAAAUGCACCAUCGCAAGAAGUUUUCCUAGGACAGAACAAAACUUGAAACGAGAGGACCAGAGGGGGAGAGCAGGAGCCAGCCUCCCCUCUCCGCACUCGCGAGCAGCCAGCAGCACCACGCCUUCAAGGACGAAAAAGUUUUACUACUCUAAGGGAAAACGAGUGAAAUGUGUUCCUGAGGAGGAGAGGAGAGGAGAGGAGAGAGCGGACAAGAGAAGGAGCGGGCCGGUUGCUGGUCAUCCGUAAUUUGGCUAAGGAAGAAAGGAGCAGCUUCUUUCUUUGUUAUCUCCCGUGAAACCUUCACUUAGCAGGUGGACGGAGCCCCGCGACCGGGCAGAGUCCGGGCUCGCCCGAGGACAGGAGGAGGAGCGGGAGCCCGCGCGUCCCGGGAGAGCGCCCCGAGUGCAGGUCCCCGCCCCGCCCGGCGAGCCCCGCUGGAGCGAGCCCAGCGCGCCGGGGCUGGGGGGCGGCCACGACCCCCCCUGAAGGGGGUGGCCACGGAGCGCACCCCGAGAAGCGAGCCCCCCUCCCCAGAGCGCUGCUCCUGCGGCUGCUGCUGCUGCUGGUGACCAAGGCCGGCCGGCGACCCCCGCGCCC